CCUACGGGUGGCAGCAGUGAGGAAUAUUGGUCAAUGGGCGCGAGCCUGAACCAGCCAAGUCGCGUGAGGGAAGACGGUCCUAUGGAUUGUAAACCUCUUUUGUCGGGGAGCAAAAGACGCCACGCGUGGCGUUCCGAGAGUACCCGAAGAAAAAGCAUCGGCUAACUCCGUGCCAGCAGCCGCGGUAAUACGGAGGAUGCGAGCGUUAUCCGGAUUUAUUGGGUUUAAAGGGUGCGCAGGCGGAAGAUCAAGUCAGCGGUAAAAUUGAGAGGCUCAACCUCUUCGAGCCGUUGAAACGGGGGUGAGUGCGUGGGCGGGAAGUAUGCGGACUGCGUGGUGUGGCUGUG
Molecule: ribosomal RNA, 347 nt
Filed under: uncultured bacterium
Lineage: Bacteria
Description: partial 16S ribosomal RNA
Rfam family: Bacterial small subunit ribosomal RNA
Source: RNAcentral